CAGCAGCCGCGGUAAUACGAAGGGGGCUAGCGUUGCUCGGAAUGACUGGGCGUAAAGGGCGCGUAGGCGGAUUGUUUAGUUAGGCGUGAAAUUCCUGGGCUUAACCUGGGGACUGCGCUUAAUACAGGCAGUCUAGAGUGAGGAAGAGGGUUGUGGAAUUCCCAGUGUAGAGGUGAAAUUCGUAGAUAUUGGGAAGAACACCGGUGGCGAAGGCGGCAACCUGGUCCUUGACUGACGCUGAGGCGCGAAAGCGUGGGGAGCAAACAGGAUUAGAUACCCCUGUAGUCCCUGUCUCUUAUAA
RNAcentral lists this ribosomal RNA (301 nucleotides) under uncultured bacterium. RNAcentral's name for it is "partial 16S ribosomal RNA". It matches the Rfam family "Bacterial small subunit ribosomal RNA", at positions 509 to 809 of the family's 1533-position model. The record is from RNAcentral.